UGUAAGUUACUUCCGGAUCUAGACACAAUUUUUAAUCUCUAAAUACAAAUGAAUAAGCUUCACUUUGGUGUCUUUGUUGUAUUCUUGAUAUGACUGUCUGUUGCUAUAUAGGUUAUCACACUAUCAAUCAAAGUCUUUGAUCAAGCAAACCGCUAUGUCCACUGAUGGAAACACAAUUCUUGCUGCCUCCGAGGACGGGACUUUAUGGCGUUGGGACGUACCGAUGGUCUAGAAGAAGAUGUGCAUGCUGGCUACUUUCUAGAAGUACAUAAGGAAUAAGGAAUAAUGAUAAGAGACAGGUCAGAGGAUCUGGGAUAACUGCCAGCUGGUGCUAUGAGUAUUUAAUUGGUCUAUAUAUAAGUAAAGAGUCUAAGGGGAGAGAUAUCAAUGAUUUGAUCAAGUGGUUGUAAAGAGAGAAAGACUCUCUCGUGUGGAAGGCUUUCUUUGUAAUCCUUGUUUUGAAUCAAAUAGAAACAUUCUCUU
Long non-coding RNA from Raphanus sativus (radish), 483 nucleotides. RefSeq lists it as uncharacterized. The transcript is spliced from 2 exons. The record is from RefSeq and is a predicted model, not a curated record. NCBI's taxonomy places the organism in Eukaryota, Viridiplantae, Streptophyta, Magnoliopsida, Brassicales, Brassicaceae.